GCAAAGUUAAUUUUGUAACUGCGACUGCUUACAGGUCAGGGAUGGGCUCUCCUUUCAGUGGUGGCAUCAGACUUCCUGCACCCAGAAGACAGUGCUGAACAAUGGCGCUGAAGUUCAGGCUGGAGAAGUAGGUCCAGCAAGUAAAACGCCAACGAUAUCUCUUCAACGCUGGGGACGUGCCACCGGAUAUCCAAAUUCCACAAAUCUCCAGGCCGACCCCAAUCCUACACGGACAAAAACCCCCCCAAAAAACCAAAAAAGAUUUUUUCAAAAACAGUGUGGUACAAACAAACUGAGCGACUCUGCGGGGUGACACUGAAAACAGAAGUGCAGCAGCUUUUUAUGGCGGUACUAACCUAAAAGAAGACGCUUUUGGACUACAUGGAGGAAGUGAAUCGGUAAG
Molecule: long non-coding RNA, 403 nt
Organism: Girardinichthys multiradiatus
Lineage: Eukaryota; Metazoa; Chordata; Actinopteri; Cyprinodontiformes; Goodeidae
Exons: 3
Source: RefSeq, a predicted model, not a curated record